This 49-nucleotide ribosomal RNA is filed under the name Pestalotiopsis cryptomeriae. RNAcentral's name for it is "partial 28S ribosomal RNA". Lineage: Eukaryota; Fungi; Ascomycota; Sordariomycetes; Amphisphaeriales; Sporocadaceae. The record is from RNAcentral.
UUGACCUCGGAUCAGGUAGGAAUACCCGCUGAACUUAAGCAUAUCAAGG